AUGUGGCUCAGCUGUUAAAGCAUCUGCCUGCAAUGCAGAAGACCUGGGUUUGAUCCCUGGCUU
RNAcentral lists this transfer RNA (63 nucleotides) under Ovis aries (sheep). It matches the Rfam family "tRNA", at positions 5 to 66 of the family's 71-position model. From Rfam's summary of the family: Transfer RNA (tRNA) molecules are approximately 80 nucleotides in length. Their secondary structure includes four short double-helical elements and three loops (D, anti-codon, and T loops). Further hydrogen bonds mediate the characteristic L-shaped molecular structure. tRNAs have two regions of fundamental functional importance: the anti-codon, which is responsible for specific mRNA codon recognition, and the 3' end, to which the tRNAs corresponding amino acid is attached (by aminoacyl-tRNA synthetases). tRNAs cope with the degeneracy of the genetic code in two manners: having more than one tRNA (with a specific anti-codon) for a particular amino acid; and 'wobble' base-pairing, i.e. permitting non-standard base-pairing at the 3rd anti-codon position. Lineage: Eukaryota; Metazoa; Chordata; Mammalia; Artiodactyla; Bovidae. The record is from Rfam by way of RNAcentral.